AUUGAACGCUGGCGGCAUGCUUUACACAUGCAAGUCGAACGGCAGCGCGGGGGCAACCCUGGCGGCGAGUGGCGAACGGGUGAGUAAUGUAUCGGAACGUAUCCUGUAAUGGGGGAUAACCAGUCGAAAGAUUGGGUAAUACCGCAUACGCACGAGAGUGGAAAGUGGAGGAUCGCAAGACUUCACGUUAUAGGAGCGGCCGAUAUCUGAUUAGCUAGUUGGUGGGGUAAAGGCCUACCAAGGCGACGAUCAGUAGCUGGUCUGAGAGGACGACCAGCCACACUGGGACUGAGACACGGCCCAGACUCCUACGGGAGGCAGCAGUGGGGAAUUUUGGACAAUGGGCGCAAGCCUGAUCCAGCCAUUCCGCGUGCAGGAUGAAGGCCU
Molecule: ribosomal RNA, 387 nt
Filed under: uncultured bacterium
Lineage: Bacteria
Description: bacterial SSU rRNA
Rfam family: Bacterial small subunit ribosomal RNA
Source: RNAcentral